GGGCGAAUGGUUUAGUGGUAUAAUACUCCCUUAGCAUGUUGUGUCAUCUGGGAGUGGUCCAGGGUUCGAUUCCCUGUUCGUCCA
RNAcentral lists this transfer RNA (84 nucleotides) under Claviceps africana. It matches the Rfam family "tRNA". From Rfam's summary of the family: Transfer RNA (tRNA) molecules are approximately 80 nucleotides in length. Their secondary structure includes four short double-helical elements and three loops (D, anti-codon, and T loops). Further hydrogen bonds mediate the characteristic L-shaped molecular structure. tRNAs have two regions of fundamental functional importance: the anti-codon, which is responsible for specific mRNA codon recognition, and the 3' end, to which the tRNAs corresponding amino acid is attached (by aminoacyl-tRNA synthetases). tRNAs cope with the degeneracy of the genetic code in two manners: having more than one tRNA (with a specific anti-codon) for a particular amino acid; and 'wobble' base-pairing, i.e. permitting non-standard base-pairing at the 3rd anti-codon position. The record is from Rfam by way of RNAcentral. Lineage: Eukaryota; Fungi; Ascomycota; Sordariomycetes; Hypocreales; Clavicipitaceae.